GUGACGCACCCUUCAGCGGAGAUGAUGCUGAAGAUCAGAAAGUCACAGCAAGCAGCUCAGUACCUGCAGGUAACCUGCUGUAACUUUCCCGGCCACCUCUUGGUCGGAACCCUACCUCAGCACACACAACCUAUGCUCUGGCAGCAGCCAUGAUGCACACCUCAAUCUCCUCUUCUGCUUUCAGCUUCAGCAAACAUCAUUGAAAUCUCUGGGCCGGCUCAUGGCAGUCCUGCUCAAGACAGAGCCCACCCGUGGCUUUUUCCAGAACAUAGUCCAUGUGAGUAUAUGUGGGGCAAGGGAGAAAGCAUGGUAACUGUCAAUAGCGGGGACAGAGAUUUGGGGACUGAGAGGACAGUCAGAGGGGGAGAAAUCUCCUGCUGACAUGCCAGUUCACUGCGAGCUCAAAAAUGGGCAGAGAAAUGAGCCCUGCAGGGGGAAAGGCAGGAGCCAGCCCUGGAAAAGCCGAGGAAAAGCUCCUGGGUUAGGAGGCAGGAGUGUCUGCAGAGAGCAGGGGCAGCAAUGCUGGUGCUCAGUGAGGCGGGGGGCCACGUGGAACCAGGAAAGGCCCUAAGGGAAAGUGUCAGGAAAGGAGGGACAGGGAGAGGGGUGGCAGGAAGGGAAAGAAAAGACGUCCUCAGUGAGACAGAUGCUCUGCCACAGGUCCUGCAGAGAUCUAUGACAUCAGACAACGUGUGGGAGCGCAAGAGGGCCCUGCAGACCUGCUCCCAGCUGCUGGCUGUUUGUGAAGAGCUUCAAAGAGGAGAUAUCUGUGAGCACUUUGGCUCCUUGGUGGGAUUGUUGGCACCUCUGACAUGUGACCCCAUGCCCACAUCCCGCCAGCUGGCCGUCACCUGUCUGAGCUCCCUUCUCCGAAUCCAAGGUGAGUAGAGCAGGCGUGUGCCAGCCCUGUGCCCUCCUCUGCAGCACUACCAGAGCCCCACUGGCUGGGCCCUGUUUA
This 958-nucleotide long non-coding RNA is filed under the name Phasianus colchicus (ring-necked pheasant). RNAcentral's name for it is "lncRNA (ENSPCLG00000013259.1)". The record is from RNAcentral. Lineage: Eukaryota; Metazoa; Chordata; Aves; Galliformes; Phasianidae.